RNAcentral lists this ribosomal RNA (421 nucleotides) under uncultured bacterium. RNAcentral describes it as "bacterial SSU rRNA". It matches the Rfam family "Bacterial small subunit ribosomal RNA", at positions 355 to 774 of the family's 1533-position model. The record is from RNAcentral.
UAAGGAAUAUUGGUCAAUGGACGCAAGUCUGUACCAGCCAUGCCGCGUGAAGGGUGAAGGUCCUCUGGAUUGUAAACUUCUUUUAUCUGGGACGAAAACGGGAUUUUUAUCUCAAUUGACGGUACCAGAGGAAUAAGCACCGGCUAACUCCGUGCCAGCAGCCGCGGUAAUACGGAGGGUGCGAGCGUUAUCCGGAUUUACUGGGUUUAAAGGGUGCGUAGGUGGGCUUAUAAGUCAGUGGUGAAAUCUCCGAGCUUAACUUGGAAACUGCCGUUGAUACUAUAGGUCUUGAAUUAUCUGGAGGUAAGCGGAAUAUGUCAUGUAGCGGUGAAAUGCUUAGAUAUGACAUAGAACACCAAUUGCGAAGGCAGCUUACUACAUAUAAAUUGACGCUGAGGCACGAAAGCGUGGGGAUCAAACA